Molecule: long non-coding RNA, 628 nt
Organism: Elaeis guineensis (African oil palm)
Lineage: Eukaryota; Viridiplantae; Streptophyta; Magnoliopsida; Arecales; Arecaceae
Source: RefSeq, a predicted model, not a curated record
AGAGGAAGAGAAGAAGAAGAAGAAGAAAAAAGAAAAAAAAAAAGAAAAAAAGUGGGGGGGGGGGGAGGGGGGGUGCUGACCUGAGGUUCUCUCUCUCUCCCAUCAUUCCUAUUCAAUAAUAUAUUUGGUUAAAUCUAGUUGUGUCCGGGAAGCAGCAGCGGAGGACAGGAGAAUUAUCGUAUCUACGUGCAAUACGUAAAGGCCAUGGAUGUGGUGCCCUGCUGCCAGCUCAAACUCGGGGAGAAACAGAUGAAUAAUAGACUCUGAUAGAUUUUGCCUGCUCUCUACAUGGACACUCCUCUGCAGCCGAAAGGGCUUGUGGUCCUUCAGCUCCAAGGUAAAACAUGGACCGAUGGAAGCCACGGACAAGACUUCCAAACUUUCCAAACAAUUGCGCUUUUUUCUGUGCUAGCAUAAAGCUGGUAGGACAGCAUCCAUCAUGGUCCCACACGUACGUGAAGCUCAACUUUCCUUGGUAGAUCUAUAUGGGAAGGAAAAUUCUUGCUCACGUCCAAAGGCAGUAGCAUUUCUAUUUAUGUCAAUUUGACUGCAGUUUUUUUGACUGCUAAUGUGCUGGUAUGGUUGGUUUUGGUCCACAAUAUAUCUGAUUGGUAUGCGCUUGGCAGCU